GAAGCUGGCCAGACAGUCGCCGCUCACGCAAGUGAGGGGAGGAAAGUCCGGGCUCCGCAGAGCAGGAUGACGGCUAACGGCCGUACGCCGUGAGGCGAGGAAUAGGGCCACAGAGACGAGCGUAUUAAGUUACGGUGAAACGCGGUAACCUCCAUCCGGAGCAAGACCAAAUAGGCUGGUAUUGGCGUGGCUCGCGCUGCCAGCGGGUAGGUUGCUUGAGCGCAUGAGCAAUUGUGCGCCUAGAUGAAUGACUGUCGCUCGCCGUAAGGUGGGAACAGAACCCGGCUUAUCGGCCAGCUUCACUC
RNAcentral lists this RNase P RNA (305 nucleotides) under Betaproteobacteria bacterium HGW-Betaproteobacteria-1. RNAcentral describes it as "RNase P RNA component class A". It matches the Rfam family "Bacterial RNase P class A". Rfam says of the family: Ribonuclease P (RNase P) is a ubiquitous endoribonuclease, found in archaea, bacteria and eukarya as well as chloroplasts and mitochondria. Its best characterised activity is the generation of mature 5'-ends of tRNAs by cleaving the 5'-leader elements of precursor-tRNAs. The record is from RNAcentral. Lineage: Bacteria; Pseudomonadati; Pseudomonadota; Betaproteobacteria.